GGGGUUGUAGCCCAGUGGUAGAGCACUUGCCUGGCAUGUGUGAGGUCCUGGGUUCAAUCCCCAAGACUUCCA
RNAcentral lists this transfer RNA (72 nucleotides) under Ictidomys tridecemlineatus (thirteen-lined ground squirrel). RNAcentral describes it as "Spermophilus tridecemlineatus (thirteen-lined ground squirrel) tRNA". It matches the Rfam family "tRNA". Rfam says of the family: Transfer RNA (tRNA) molecules are approximately 80 nucleotides in length. Their secondary structure includes four short double-helical elements and three loops (D, anti-codon, and T loops). Further hydrogen bonds mediate the characteristic L-shaped molecular structure. tRNAs have two regions of fundamental functional importance: the anti-codon, which is responsible for specific mRNA codon recognition, and the 3' end, to which the tRNAs corresponding amino acid is attached (by aminoacyl-tRNA synthetases). tRNAs cope with the degeneracy of the genetic code in two manners: having more than one tRNA (with a specific anti-codon) for a particular amino acid; and 'wobble' base-pairing, i.e. permitting non-standard base-pairing at the 3rd anti-codon position. The record is from Rfam by way of RNAcentral. Lineage: Eukaryota; Metazoa; Chordata; Mammalia; Rodentia; Sciuridae.